This 329-nucleotide long non-coding RNA is filed under the name Homo sapiens (human). RNAcentral's name for it is "HSALNT0354704". The record is from RNAcentral. Lineage: Eukaryota; Metazoa; Chordata; Mammalia; Primates; Hominidae.
CAUUCAGAGCAAGUCCCCUUGUUAUCAAUGUCAGCUGGGCCUGAGUCAGGGUUUAGUGCAAGAUUGGAUGACAUGUAUCCUGGCUUCCAAAGGAAAAUGGCUGAGCUGUACUGUGCUUUCAGUGUUUCUGUUCCAUUCUUCCGGGAACAGAAUUUAUCUCACCAGGAGAGAAGUUGUGAAGUCUCUUUAAGGCUGUAUUUCCUGCUGGGUUGUUAAACACAGUGGGGACACCCAACUUGGAGGGUUCUGGUAUUUUUGUUUACAGUUCUUACUCUGCUUUUAACCCAACAAAUAUGAACCAAUAAAUAUCAACCUCUUAUUUCACUGGU